CAGUGUUCAGGCCUCACCACGCGCUACUGGAGUAACACCCGUGUCAGUUAUGGAGCCUCACACAGCAGAUGUGUCCAGUAAAUACUGUGAAUAGUGUAUACUGUGUUUUGCUUUUGUUUUCUUUAGUGAUGAGGUCUCGUUAUGUUGCCCAGGCUGGUCUCAAACUCCUGAGCUCAAGCGAUCUUCCGUCCUCGGCCUCCCAGGUAGCUGGGAUUACAAGUGUGUGAUACUACGCCCAGCUAUACUGCAUUAUUGAACCAACUUCCUGGCUGUUUCCCCUACUCUGAACCUGGUGGUCUAUAACCCCUGACCACAGCUGUUCCUACAGUGGGAAGGGCCUGCUCAUCUGGGCUGUGGCUCCUGGUCCCGCUGCACCGGGGAGGUGGGGUCUUACCAGGAUCAAUAGGCAGGCAGUCACUUUCUUUUCAUAGGAAUCUUGUCGAUUGGCCUGGCUGCUGCCUACUACAGCGGAGGUAAAGCACCCCCUGCCCCACCCCCCCAUGACUGUCUCAGCUGUUUGGAAAACAGAGAAAAGAAGGAAAAACUGUCAUUUGUGACUGUCCAUGGGGCGGCCUUUAGGAUCGGCACUUCUGCCCCUUGAUUGCUGGUGGGCACCACACCCCUCCACACGCUGCUGUUCUUCCGCACGCCCAUCCUGCCCAGCGCCCAGCCCACAUUUCACUUCUUAAGUCUUCUGUGUUUUUGGGUCAUCAGAUAUUCCCGGAAAGAUGCUCUUGAGGAUCUGGCUAAGAUCCAGCUGUGGGGUGAGGCGUACUUCUCACCCUGCCACCAUCACUGGGCCUGCCCAGACGGGCAGAGGCCCUGUGCGCCCCACCUGCCUCUCUUACAUGGACUCUGGGGGUCAGAGCUGGGUGGGAUGUGCCGUGUGUGGGUCCUGAGUGGCCAGGGCAGGGUCAGCAGCACAGGAAGCUGCCCAGGGGGUCCUUGUAAGCGUGGGCUCUGGCCAGCGUCUGGGGGAGGCUGUGCUAGGCGGGGCCUCCCAUGGGCACGUCCCUGGAGCUCACAGGCUGGCGCCCUAUGUCCAUCUCCAGAUAGCCUGGGCUGGAAGCUCUUCUACGUCACAGGCUGCCUGUUUGUGGCUGUGCAGAACUUGGAGGACUGGGAGGAAGCCGUCUUCGACAAGAGCACAGGGAAGGUUGUUUUGAAGACGUUCAGCCUCUACAAGAAGCUGCUGACUCUUUUCAGAGCUGGCCACGACCAGGUGGUGGUCCUGCUGCAUGAUGUCCGUGACGUGAGCGUGGAGGAGGAGAAGGUCCGGUACUUCGGGAAGGGCUACAUGGUGGUGCUCCGGCUCGCAACGGGCUUCUCCCACCCCCUCACGCAGAGCGCGGUCAUGGGCCACCGCAGUGAUGUGGAAGCCAUCGCCAAGCUCAUCACCAGCUUCCUGGAGCUGCACUGCCUUGAGAGCCCCACAGAGCUGUCUCAGAGCAGCGACAGUGAGGCCGGCGACCCUGGGAGCCAGAGCUGACAGCCCCACUGUACCUGAUCCCGUGCACCGCCCACAGGACCCGUGGCACAUUCCCGGUGUGCCUGAGCCCGUGCACCGCCCACAGGACCCGUGGCACAUUCCCGGUGUGCCUGAUCCUGUGCACUGCCCACAGAACCCAUGACCUUGGCUUCAGUCGGUGCCUCCAGCCGAGUUGGCCUAUUGCCUGCUCAUGCUGCUGCUUGCACACUGCAUGAAACAGCAGGCCAGACCAGGACACCCAGACUUUCUCCAUCGUGAGGCCUGGGCCUGCCUUUCUGCAGCCGGAGGUCUCGCCAGCCCUGGACUCCUGCUGUGGGCCACAGCAAGACCUCGGGCAAGUGGAGAGGCGGGGCCAGGCCAGGCCCUUGUGGGUGCUGAUGCUGUGUGUUGUCCCCGACACAGCAGCCUCUCCCUGGUGGACAUCCCCAGCAGUCAGGUGCUUCCCCAAGGGCAGUGAGGUGUGAACAUCCGGGGCCUACCUGGCUGUGCACGCUGCAGCCACACUGGAAGCUGCCCCUCCCCGAGGACCCGCCUCCCUUGCUGAUGCCAGGAUCUCGGCGCAUAGACCGCUCUGCCCCAGUGGUCGUCUCAGAAAGGUCUCUCUGUUCGUCACACUCAGCCUCAGCAUAAGCUGUGAGGCCAGAAAAAAGGUCAGCUCUUCUAGUAUCGUGCAGCGCUUAGAAACCGGGAGCUCCAGCCGGGUGCAGUGGUUCAUGCCAGUAAUCCCAGCACUUUCGGAGGCCGAGGCGGGAGGAUUGCUUGAGGCCAGGAGUUCAAGACCAGCCUGGGUAACACAGCAAGAUCCUGUCUUUGCAAAAAAAUUGACCAAACAAGAAAAACUGGGAGAUUUUCUGCAGAAAUUGAGUUCCAGCCUCUCUCGAACCUGGGAAGACCUGGCAGGAGGGGCUGGGCUCUCCGCUACAGACUUCUCCCCACCCCGUAGGAGCUGAAUGCCAACCAUCCUGACGUGCCAGUGCUCUUGGUCUCCCAAGUGCACCCAGGUCCUCCCAGGUGCAGUGUGCACCGAACACGCCUGGCCUUAUGCCCUGGCCUGUGAGCUGGGGACUCCUGGGCCCUGUGAGCCCCUAGGCGGCAGGCCUAGGAAUGGCUGGGUAGGACAGGGAACGCCUUUGCCCCACGUCUGGCUGUGACCUCGGUGAAAGCCAACAGGAGAGAGAUGGGACCCUCCUCCUCAGUAGUGGCUGCCAGUCCCUCGUUGCAGGACAUGGUCAUCAUAACCAUAAAUAACCCUUCGCGUGUC
This 2750-nucleotide small RNA is filed under the name Pongo abelii (Sumatran orangutan). RNAcentral's name for it is "retained intron". The record is from RNAcentral. Lineage: Eukaryota; Metazoa; Chordata; Mammalia; Primates; Hominidae.